ACUCUUCUAGUAUACUCAUUAUAAUGGACUUCCAAUCCAUAGAAUCUGGACCAAACCCAGAGAAGAGUA
RNAcentral lists this transfer RNA (69 nucleotides) under Origma solitaria. RNAcentral describes it as "tRNA-Gly". Lineage: Eukaryota; Metazoa; Chordata; Aves; Passeriformes; Acanthizidae. The record is from RNAcentral.